This 273-nucleotide ribosomal RNA is filed under the name uncultured bacterium. RNAcentral's name for it is "partial 16S ribosomal RNA". It matches the Rfam family "Bacterial small subunit ribosomal RNA", at positions 524 to 796 of the family's 1533-position model. The record is from RNAcentral.
GACAGAGGGUGCAAACGUUGUUCGGAAUUACUGGGCGUAAAGCGCGUGUAGGCGGCUUGGCAAGUCGGGUGUGAAAGCCCUGGGCUCAACCUAGGAAGUGCACUCGAAACUGCCUCGCUGGAGUGCCGGAGAGGAAAGCGGAAUUCUCGGUGUAGAGGUGAAAUUCGUAGAUAUCGAGAGGAACACCGGUGGCGAAGGCGGCUUUCUGGACGGUUACUGACGCUGAGACGCGAAAGCGUGGGGAGCAAACAGGAUUAGAAACCCCCGUAGUCC